ACACUGUGAGUCACCUGCCCUGGACUCUGGGAUAACUUCGAGAAAUCGGAGCUAAUACCGGAUAGGACCUUGCACCGCAGGUGUGGGGUGGAAAGUUUUUCGGUUUGGGAUGGACUCGCGGCCUAUCAGCUUGUUGGUGAGGUAAUGGCUCACCAAGGCGUCGACGGGUAGCCGGCCUGAGAGGGUGACCGGCCACACUGGGACUGAGACACGGCCCAGACUCCUACGGGAGGCAGCAGUGGGGAAUAUUGCACAAUGGGCGCAAGCCUGAUGCAGCAACGCCGCGUGCGGGAUGACGGCCUUCGGGUUGUAAACCGCUUUUAGUAGGGAAGAAGCCUUCGGGUGACGGUACCUGCAGAAAAAGGACCGGCUAACUACGUGCCAGCAGCCGCGGUAAUACGUAGGGUCCGAGCGUUGUCCGGAAUUAUUGGGCGUAAAGAGCUCGUAGGCGGUUUGUCGCGUCUGCUGUGAAAACUAGAGGCUCAACCUCUAGCCUGCAGUGGGUACGGGCAAACUUGAGUGGUGUAG
RNAcentral lists this ribosomal RNA (528 nucleotides) under Agromyces sp. HPC334. Its description in RNAcentral is "bacterial SSU rRNA". It matches the Rfam family "Bacterial small subunit ribosomal RNA", at positions 112 to 654 of the family's 1533-position model. Lineage: Bacteria; Bacillati; Actinomycetota; Actinomycetes; Micrococcales; Microbacteriaceae. The record is from RNAcentral.